ACGGGAGGCAGCAGUGAGGAAUAUUGGUCAAUGGGCGGAAGCCUGAACCAGCCAAGUCGCGUGAAGGAUGAAGGUAUUAUGUAUUGUAAACUUCUUUAGACGUAGAGAAAUAAGGGGAUCGUGAUCCCUGAUGCUAGUAUACGUAGAAUAAGGAUCGGCUAACUCCGUGCCAGCAGCCGCGGUAAUACGGAGGAUCCGAGCGUUAUCCGGAUUUAUUGGGUUUAAAGGGUGCGCAGGCGGCACGUUAAGUCAGCGGUGAAAUGUCGGGGCUCAACCCGGGCACUGCCGUUGAAACUGGCGAGCUUGAGUACGGAUGAAGUCGGCGGAAUGUGAUGUGUAGCGGUGAAAUGCUUAGAUAUGUCACAGAACACCGAUUGCGAAGGCAGCUGACUAAUCCGCAACUGACGCUCAGGCACGAAAGCGUGGGGAUCGAACAGGAUUAGAUACCCUGGUA
Molecule: ribosomal RNA, 454 nt
Filed under: uncultured Porphyromonadaceae bacterium
Lineage: Bacteria; Pseudomonadati; Bacteroidota; Bacteroidia; Bacteroidales; Porphyromonadaceae
Description: partial 16S ribosomal RNA
Rfam family: Bacterial small subunit ribosomal RNA
Source: RNAcentral